UAGUUCUUCCGCAUGGUGGAACUAUUAAAGAAUUUCGGUCAUCGAUGGGGAUGCGUUCCAUUAGUUUGUUGGCGGGGUAACGGCCCACCAAGACUACGAUGGAUAGGGGUUCUGAGAGGAAGGUCCCCCACAUUGGAACUGAGACACGGUCCAAACUCCUACGGGAGGCAGCAUG
This 175-nucleotide ribosomal RNA is filed under the name uncultured bacterium. Its description in RNAcentral is "partial 16S ribosomal RNA". It matches the Rfam family "Bacterial small subunit ribosomal RNA", at positions 179 to 353 of the family's 1533-position model. The record is from RNAcentral.